UUAAAAUUCACUUCCUGAUAAUAGAAUUGGAAAGGUAUUUGAGGCAUCGACAGGUCCAGGAACUUUCUGAAAUUCGUCAAGUAUCUACAAUAACAAGUAGUCCAAAUGGCAGCAUUCAAGCCAUAUAAAACGAUCUCUAGUCUGGUGUGUGCCAGCAAAUACUUUCCAAACAUAAAUCAGUGGAAACCUACGUUAGCUGCAAGUUUUUCGACUAAAAAUACAGAAGAUGAUAAAUUCUUCGAUGAGAAAGACUACCAUACAAAUGUGAUGAAAACCAGAUUAGAGCUUUCGCCAUCCUUAUUUCAGAAUUCAGGAAAACAUUCCAUAUCAAAAAUUAAGGAAAUCAAGGAAAUGACUGACUCAAUUUGUAAAAAAGGCACUACAAAGGACAAAGAUGUAGCAACCAGUUGCCUAAGUUCGAACACUAAUAAAUAAAUGAAAUUUGAGGUAUUCUUCGCUGUAGCUACUUCUUCGACAAGAAAACAGAAAAUUUCACUUUUGUAUAAACACAAGCAACUUUCAUUACUGACAGAAGCUGUAAAGUUGUAACAGUUGCUACAUUUCGUUGUUACGGUUAUUUCAUGUUUUUCACAACCCGACUCUAAGAGCAUUCAAAAGUUAGUCGCAGUUUUGAUAUCACUGCUAUAACUAUAAAACACCUUUACCAGUAUAUUCAUAACUGUUACAACUUUAACAAAUAUUGUGACAAUUUCUUCAAUAUUUUGAAAAAUUAUGUAUAUGGAGGGAUUCAAAUAGAACCUUUUAUCUAACUUUUUCAGAAAUGUGCGUGUGUUAAGUUUUGAUUUUGAGUCUUUUUCUAGGCAGCUCGCAAAGAUAAAUACCGUCCAAGAUAAAUGUCGUGAAAUAUUUAGACAUUCGUUUGAAUUUGUGUAUAUUUAUAUAUUUCGUCAGAUUUAUGUGUUUGAGGUGAUAUUAGUCGGACGAACCAGUAAACUUUUUUUUGGUAUAUGUUCUCACUACCAAGAAAAUUAAAUGAACAAAAAUAAUAUUUCGGAUGAAUUUAUGAUCAUCAAAAUGUAUGUAAAGGAACAGAUUGAUACAUUGUGUAUGGAAGAUAUGUAUUUUUCUUAUGUAAAAUUGUGUUUAUUAGCACUAUUAUGGUAUUCAUUUUAAAAUUAAGUUGGAGUAUGUAAAUGAAUGAUAAUUCCUUAUUUAAUACCAUUAUUACUGACUAAGUAUGAGCGUUUGCGAGAAAGGCGUUAUCAUUUUCUUACAAAUUCAGAAAUGAUUUUUCUAAUAAAGAAUUAGUUUCGUGCAAUAAAUAGAUUUAUUACAUGGAUUCCUGAAAACAUACUUCGUGUGAUGCUUACAAAUGUAAGGAAUUUAUAUAAAAUAUAACAAAGAAAAAUCAAUACUAAAAUAGAAAAUUUUAUCAAACUUUGUCUUGUGCACCAGAUGACACAAUAGUGCGUUCAUCGAAAUUGUAUAAGUUUCAUAAUAGCGAAAGCGAAAUUCAAUGUAAAUAGUGUAAAUGUUAGUAAGGAAUUUUGUUUGGGUUAUUUACAGAUCAACUUUUCAAAUUUCACAGAGUAUAUAUUUAUUUAUGUGUACAUAUUUUUGUUGAAACAAAUGCAACUUCUAUAACUUUUUGUUCAAUAUGAAUUCGAUUAAAAAUAAUAUUCAUUAAACAAUUGAAAAAUUUGUAAAACCAAUUUUUUUUCUUGUUAAAUUGUUCAGUUGUGCAUUGUAUUGCUUAUUCAUGUGCCAUACGAAACACAUGUUAUAGAAGUUAUGAAACUUUAUUGAGCAGCAACUUCAGUUUGAAUAGAAUAAGAUGAUACAUCAAGUGAUAUUCAUGUGUGAAUUAAGAUUGGAUCUAAUUUGUGCUUACUCUCUUUUUA
Long non-coding RNA from Mytilus californianus (California mussel), 1862 nucleotides. RefSeq lists it as uncharacterized. NCBI's taxonomy places the organism in Eukaryota, Metazoa, Mollusca, Bivalvia, Mytilida, Mytilidae. The record is from RefSeq and is a predicted model, not a curated record. The transcript has 6 exons.